AGAGUUUGAUCAUGGCUCAGGACGAACGCUGGCGGCGUGCUUAACACAUGCAAGUCGAACGGAAAGGCCCUUCGGGGUACUCGAGUGGCGAACGGGUGAGUAACACGUGGGUGAUCUGCCCUGCACUUUGGGAUAAGCCUGGGAAACUGGGUCUAAUACCGAAUAGGACCGCGCGCUUCAUGGUGUGUGGUGGAAAGCUUUUGCGGUGUGGGAUGGGCCCGCGGCCUAUCAGCUUGUUGGUGGGGUAAUGGCCUACCAAGGCGACGACGGGUAGCCGGCCUGAGAGGGUGACCGGCCACACUGGGACUGAGAUACGGCCCAGACUCCUACGGGAGGCAGCAGUGGGGAAUAUUGCACAAUGGGCGCAAGCCUGAUGCAGCGACGCCGCGUGAGGGAUGACGGCCUUCGGGUUGUAAACCUCUUUCACCAGGGACGAAGCGCAAGUGACGGUACCUGGAGAAGAAGCACCGGCCAACUACGUGCCAGCAGCCGCGGUAAUACGUAGGGUGCGAGCGUUGUCCGGAAUUACUGGGCGUAAAGAGCUCGUAGGUGGUUUGUCACGUUGUUCGUGAAAACUCACAGCUUAACUGUGGGCGUGCGGGCGAUACGGGCAGACUAGAGUACUGCAGGGGAGACUGGAAUUCCUGGUGUAGCGGUGGAAUGCGCAGAUAUCAGGAGGAACACCGGUGGCGAAGGCGGGUCUCUGGGCAGUAACUGACGCUGAGGAGCGAAAGCGUGGGGAGCGAACAGGAUUAGAUACCCUGGUAGUCCAA
This 773-nucleotide ribosomal RNA is filed under the name uncultured bacterium. RNAcentral's name for it is "bacterial SSU rRNA". It matches the Rfam family "Bacterial small subunit ribosomal RNA", at positions 8 to 798 of the family's 1533-position model. The record is from RNAcentral.